This 896-nucleotide long non-coding RNA is filed under the name Homo sapiens (human). RNAcentral's name for it is "HSALNT0204266". The record is from RNAcentral. Lineage: Eukaryota; Metazoa; Chordata; Mammalia; Primates; Hominidae.
GCUAUUCCUGUUUGUUAGUUUUUGUUCUAACAGUCGGGCCCCUCAGCUGCAGGUCUGUUGGAGUUUGCUGGAGGUCCAUUCCAGAUAAUGUUUGACUGAGUAUCUCCAGCAGAGACUGCAGAAAAAUAUGCCCUGCCCACAGAGGUGGAAUCGAGAGAGACAGUUGGCCUUGCUGAGCUGCCGUGGGCACCACCCAGUUUGAGCUUCCCAGCAGCUUUGUUUACACUAUGGCUGACUAGCCUAGGAGCAUAAGAUGUCACUUCUCCUCAAAAAGAAGACCACAGCUACUGGUGAAUGGACAUGGCUUGAACGGAAAACUAAGGGAAGAGAGCCGGAACCUGUUGGAGUCCUGAUGGAAAGAAGCUGGGGUGCAGAAAAGAAAAGCAGAAAGAAUCUGGCAGAGAAUAACCCCCUGAGGAACUCGAAGCCCCACAGAAAGGGUAGGUCGCAGUGUGUCUCUGCUCCCUUCACCCCUACAACCACCUGUUGACUCCUAAACUGUUAGGGUAACCCCCUGCCCUGAUAACCCUGGAUAACACUGUUGGCAGCAACUUAAGAACUUCCCAGGGACACAGAACCAGGUGGUCACCUCACACAAGCAUAACUGCACUCCCCUAAGGCCAGAAAGGAGAAGUCAGGCACCAUACUGGUAGGCCACUGCCCUGCCCAGGCAAUCUCUUCUCCUGAGUCACUGCACCACCAGAUCCCUCACAAACCUACCCCACAGCCUUCUCUGACUGUGGCAAAAUACAGGGGACCAGCAGGUCACUGGGAGGUACAGGACACCUGGAGAUCUUACCCUCAAUGGGGGUCACCCCUAAGUGAGAGGGGUGUGCAGCUCACCAAAGCUCCCCUUGGGACAAAAAAAAAAUAUGGAUGCAGUGCUAAUCAUGCCA